AGACCAGUAUGAAUGGCAAGACGAAAGUUCAACUGUCUCCCUAAAUUAAUCAAUGAAAUUGAUUUUUCCGUGCAGAAGCGGAAAUAUAAUUAUAAGACGAGAAGACCCUAUGGAGCUUUAAACAUAUGAUCAAUUGCGUAACAUAAAAUCCAAAAGAUAAAAUAUUUAAUAAAACAAUAUGAUCAAAAUUUUAGGUUGGGGCGACCACGGAGAAAAACAAAACCUCCGAGAUGAAAAGAAUAUCUUAAUUCGAGAACUACAAUUCUAAAAAAUAAAAUAUUUAACAUAAUUGAUCCAAUACUUUGAUCAACGAACCAAGUUACCCUAGGGAUAACAGCGCAAUCCUCUCCAAGAGUCCCUAUCGACGAGCGGGUUUACGACCUCGAUGUUGGAUCAGGACAUCCCAAUGGUGCAGCCGCUAUUAAAGGUUCGUUUGUUCAACGAUUAAAGUCCUACGUGAUC
This 462-nucleotide ribosomal RNA is filed under the name Hynobius kimurae (Hida salamander). RNAcentral describes it as "partial large subunit ribosomal RNA". It matches the Rfam family "Bacterial large subunit ribosomal RNA", at positions 1984 to 2605 of the family's 2925-position model. Lineage: Eukaryota; Metazoa; Chordata; Amphibia; Caudata; Hynobiidae. The record is from RNAcentral.